ACUCCUACGGGAGGCAGCAGUGGGGAAUAUUGCACAAUGGGCGCAAGCCUGAUGCAGCCAUGCCGCGUGUGUGAAGAAGGCCUUCGGGUUGUAAAGCACUUUCAGUCGUGAGGAAGGUAGUGUAGUUAAUAGCUGCAUUAUUUGACGUUAGCGACAGAAGAAGCACCGGCUAACUCCGUGCCAGCAGCCGCGGUAAUACGGAGGGUGCGAGCGUUAAUCGGAAUUACUGGGCGUAAAGCGCAUGCAGGUGGUUUGUUAAGUCAGAUGUGAAAGCCCGGGGCUUAACCUCGGAAUUGCAUUUGAAACUGGCAGGCUAGAGUCUUGUAGAGGGGGGUAGAAUUUCAGGUGUAGCGGUGAAAUGCGUAGAGAUCUGAAGGAAUACCAGUGGCGAAGGCGGCCCCCUGGACAAAGACUGACGCUCAGAUGCGAAAGCGUGGGGAGCAAACAGGAUUAGAUACCCUGGUAGGAUAGCG
RNAcentral lists this ribosomal RNA (473 nucleotides) under uncultured bacterium. RNAcentral describes it as "bacterial SSU rRNA". It matches the Rfam family "Bacterial small subunit ribosomal RNA", at positions 335 to 799 of the family's 1533-position model. The record is from RNAcentral.